This 452-nucleotide ribosomal RNA is filed under the name uncultured beta proteobacterium. Its description in RNAcentral is "bacterial SSU rRNA". It matches the Rfam family "Bacterial small subunit ribosomal RNA", at positions 97 to 570 of the family's 1533-position model. The record is from RNAcentral. Lineage: Bacteria; Pseudomonadati; Pseudomonadota; Betaproteobacteria.
GGCGAACGGGUGAGUAAUGCAUCGGAACGUGCCCAACUGUGGGGGAUAGCUCGGCGAAAGCCGGAUUAAUACCGCAUACGAUCCACGGAUGAAAGCGGGGGAUCUUCGGGCCUCGCGCAGUUGGAGCGGCCGAUGUUAGAUUAGGUAGUUGGUGGGGUAAAGGCUCACCAAGCCGACGAUCUAUAGCUGGUCUGAGAGGACGACCAGCCACACUGGGACUGAGACACGGCCCAGACUCCUACGGGAGGCAGCAGUGGGGAAUUUUGGACAAUGGGCGAAAGCCUGAUCCAGCAAUGCCGCGUGUGUGAAGAAGGCCUGCGGGUUGUAAAGCACUUUCAGUUGGGAAGAUGAUGACGUUACCAACAGAAGAAGCACCGGCUAAAUCCGUGCCAGCAGCCGCGGUAAUACGGAUGGUGCGAGCGUUAAUCGGAAUUACUGGGCGUAAAGCGCGC